This 164-nucleotide ribosomal RNA is filed under the name uncultured bacterium. RNAcentral describes it as "partial 16S rRNA". It matches the Rfam family "Bacterial small subunit ribosomal RNA", at positions 355 to 511 of the family's 1533-position model. The record is from RNAcentral.
UAGGGAAUCUACCACAAUGGGCGAAAGCCUGAUGGAGCAACGCCGCGUGUGUGAUGAAGGGUUUCGGCUCGUAAAACACUGUUGUAAGAGAAGAAUGACAUUGAGAGUAACUGUUCAAUGUGUGACGGUAUCUUACCAGAAAGGAACGGCUAAAUACGUGCCAG